This 255-nucleotide long non-coding RNA is filed under the name Vigna radiata. RNAcentral describes it as "long non-coding RNA (VRAD_LNC014546)". The record is from RNAcentral. Lineage: Eukaryota; Viridiplantae; Streptophyta; Magnoliopsida; Fabales; Fabaceae.
CGCCGCCCAUCUAACCGACACACCCCUCGACACACCCCUCUUCUCAAACCCUUCGGCCUCUUACGACGCCUCGGGCUUGGGGGGCUUAUGUAUCCUGCCUGACCGUCCGUCCACCCGAAUAAGUGAGACCGGGCGGGUAAACCUUUGCAGCUCAAGACAACUGGUUAGCAUAACCGGGUAACGCACGGCCGGGCAAGACCGUGCCCUCCGCGCAACUUGCGCAGCUGAAGACGAACAUACCACAUUCAGCCGUCG